This 253-nucleotide ribosomal RNA is filed under the name uncultured bacterium. RNAcentral describes it as "partial 16S ribosomal RNA". It matches the Rfam family "Bacterial small subunit ribosomal RNA", at positions 524 to 776 of the family's 1533-position model. The record is from RNAcentral.
UACAGAGGUCCCAAGCGUUGUUCGGAUUUACUGGGCGUAAAGGGUGCGUAGGCGGCCAAAAAAGUUCGAUGUGAAAUCUUGGAGCUCAACUCCGAAACUGCAUUGGAUACUAAUUGGCUUGAGAAACGUAGGGGAGAUUGGAAUUCUCGGUGUAGCAGUGAAAUGCGUAGAUAUCGAGAGGAACACCAGUGGCGAAGGCGAAUCUCUGGACGUUUUCUGACGCUGAGGCACGAAAGCCAAGGGAGCAAACGGG